This is a long non-coding RNA of Passer domesticus (house sparrow), 4333 nucleotides long. RefSeq lists it as uncharacterized. Lineage: Eukaryota; Metazoa; Chordata; Aves; Passeriformes; Passeridae. The record is from RefSeq and is a predicted model, not a curated record. The transcript is spliced from 6 exons.
UUUGUGAGGGGAGAUCAUGGAGGAGAUGAGGGGUGUCCAUGUUUGUGAGGGGAGAUCAUGGAGGAGAUGAGGGGUGUCCGUGUUUGUGAGGGGAGAUCAUGGAGGAGAUGAGGGGUGUCCGUGUUUGUGAGGCAAGAUCUUGGAGGAGAUGAGAGGAGGGAUCAUGGAGGUGAGGGGUGUCCAUGUUUGUGAGGGAGGAUCAUGGAGGUGAAGGGUGUCCAUGUUUGUGAGGGGAGGAGAUCAUGGGGGAGAACAGGGGUGUCCAUGAGGGGAGAUAAUGGAGGAGAUCAGGGGUGUCCUGAGGGGAAACCAUGGAGGAGAUCAGGGGUGUUCAUGUUUGUGAGGGGAGAUCAUGGAGGAGAUGAGGGGUGUCCAUGUUUGUGAGGGGAGAUCAUGGAGGAGAUGAGGGGUGUCCAUGUUUGUGAGGGGGAAUCUUGGAGGAGAUGAGGGGGGGGAUCAUGGAGGUGAGGGGUGUCCAUGUUUGUGAGGGGUGUCCAUGUUUGUGAGGGGAGAUCAUGGAGGAGAUGAGGGGUGUCCAUGUUUAUGAGGGGGUAUCAUGGAGGUGAGGGGUGUCUGUGUUUGUGAGGAGCAGCUGUGAGGGGAGACCAUGGAGGAGAUGUGGGGUGUCCUGAGGGGAGAUCAUGGAGGAGAUCAGGGGUGUCCAUGAGGGGAGAUCAUGGAGGAGAGAUGAGGGGAGGGGAGAUCAUGGAGUAGAUUGUGGGGCAGAGAUCAGGGGUGUCUGUGAGGGGAGAUAAUGGAGGAGAUCAGGGGUGUCCUGAGGGGAGAUCAUGGAGGAGAUCAGGGGUGUCCAUGAGGGGAGAUAAUGGGGGAGAUCAGGGGUGUCCAUGAGGGGAGAUCAUGGGGGAGAGAUGAGGGGUGUCCAUGAGGGGAGGGGAGAUCAUGGAGUAGAUUGUGGGGCAGAGAUCAGGGGUGUCUGUGAGGGGAGAUAAUGGGGGAGAUCAGGGGUGUCCAUGAGGGGAGAUAAUGGAGGAGAUCAGGGGUGUCCAUGAGGGGAGACCAAGGAGGAGAUGAGGGGUGUCCAUGAGGGGAGAUAAUGAAGGAGAUCAUGGGGGAGAGGUCAGGGGUGUCCAUGAGGGGAGGGGAGAUCAUGGAGGAGAUGAGGGGUGUCCAUGAGGGGAAACCAUGGAGGAGAUGAGGGGUGUUCAUGUUUGUGAGGAGCAGCUGUGAGUGGAAAUCAUGGAGGAGAGGACAGGUGUCCAUGAGGGGAGAUCAUGGAGGAGGAGAUGAGGGGUGUCCAUGUCUGUGAGGGGAUAUCAUGGAGGUGAGGAGUGUCCAUGUUUGUCAGGGGAGGUCAUAGAGGAGAUGAGGGGCGUCCAUGAGAGGAGCUCAUGAGGAAGAUGAGAGAAGAUCAUUGUGGACAUGAGGAGCCUCCAUGGUUGUGAGGGGCAGCCAUGAGGCAGGAUCAUUGCUGACAUGAGGGGAGAUCAUGGAGGGGUGGCCAUGAGGGGAGAUCAUGGAGGAAGAUGAGGGGCGACCAUGAGGUGACCAUGACCAUGAGGAGAUCAUGGAGGAAGAUGAGGGGCAGCCCCUCCUGCUGUUUUGGAAUAUUUUUUCUCAGGUGUGGCAGCAGCACCAGCUGCCUCCCAAGGUGAGAGAGAUCUCAAGGCGAUGGAUUUCACAGGCACCUCCUAUGCAUACAUAAUAACUCACUUCUCAUUUUAAUUUUCAUUUCAGCACGUAAUGAGUUGACUGAAAAAACCAAGCCUGAGGAGCUUGGGAGGAAAUUUAAGACUGAUUGUGGAAAUAGAAGAUUUUGGAUCCUGCUUGGAUGCAUUGGAGGAGGCAGAGCUGGGGGUUCCGUCCUCACGGAGAGCAGCAGAUUCCUGCUUUUGGUCCAGCACCCCGGGGCGUCUCUUCAAUCAGCAUCUUUUCAGGUCGGGGUGAGAAGCAAAAAGGAUCCAAGCAGGGCCUUGGGAAUGUUCACCUGGAGAAGAGAAGGAUGCAGGGGCUCCUCAGAGCCUUUCCAGGAGCUGGGGGUGUCCAGCUUGGAAAAGAGAAGGAUCUGGGGAUUCCUCAGUCCAGGAGCUUUGUGAGUCCAGCUUGGAGAAGGGAAGGAUCCAGGGGCUCCUCGGAGCUCCUUCCAGGGUCCGGGAACGUUCACCUGGAGAAGGGAAGGACUUAGGAGCUCCUCGGUCCAGGAGCUGGGGGUGUUCACCCAGAGAAAGGAAGGAGCUGGGGACUCCUCGGAGCCCUUUCAAGAGCUGGGGGUGUUCACCUGGAGCAGGGAAGGAGGCAGGCCUCCAACCCCCGGAAAGGCCGGGCGCCUUCCCGCCGGAAGCGCAGAGCCGAAGGAUCUCCAAAGGAGCGCCCGGCUCCCGGGGCGCGAGGUGGGACCGAGCUCACGGCGUUCUGGGAAACCCUGGAGCAGCUGGGAAACCCAGCCCUGGGGGAACCAAACCAGGAGGAAAAAGUUUGGUGGAAUUUUGAGGAUUUUUGACCAAAGUUUGGUCAAAAUUUGAGGAUUUUUCACCAAAGUUUGGUUGAGUUUUAAGAAUUUUUGACCAAGCUUUGGUCAAGUUUUGCGAAUUUCUGACCAAACUUUCAUUUAGUUUCAAGAAUUUUUGACCAAACUUUUGUUAAGUUUUAAGGAUUUUUGGCAAAAUUUUGGUUGAGUUUUAAGAAUUUUUGACCAAACUUUCGUUAAGUUUUGAGAAUUUUUGACCAAAGUGACUGAAGUUUGGUUGAGUUUUGAGGAUUUUGGAUAAAACUUGGUUGAGUUUUGACCAAAGUCUGGUUGAAUUUUAAAAACUUGACAAAAGUCAGGUUGAGUUUUGAGGAUUUUUUUGCCUCAUUAAUGGGUGAAGAAAUCUGGGAAUCUCCUCCAGGCCAGAACCUGGAGCAGCUGGGAAAUCCAGCCCUGGGGGAACCAAACCAGGAGGAAAGGGCUUGGAAAAAGUUUGGUUGAGUUUGGAUGAUUUUGGACCAAAUUUUGGUGGAGUUUCGAGGAUUUUUGACCAAAUUUUGGUCAAGAUUUGAGAAUUUUGGCUGAGUUUUAAGGAUUUUUGGCAAAAGUUGGGUUGAGUUUUAAGGAUUCUUUUGAUCAAAGCUUGCUUGAGUUUUAAGGAUUUUGGUCAAGGUUUGGUUGAGUUUUGAGGAUUUUUGACCAAAGUAGUUUUAAGCAUUUUUGUCAAAUGUUUGGUUGAGUUUUAAGGAUUUUUGGCAAAUUUUUGGUUGAGUUUGGAGGAUUUUUGACCAAACUUUGGUUGAGUUUUGAGAAUUUUUGACCAAACUUUUGUUUAGUUUCGAGAAUUUUUGACCAAAGUUUGGUUGAAUUUUAGGAAUUUUUGGCAAAAGUUUGGUUGAGUUUUAAGGAUUUCUGACUAAAGUUUGGUUGAGUUUUGAGGAUUUUGGAUAAAACUUGGUUGAGUUUUGACCAAAGUCCGGUUGAAUUUUAAGAAUUUUUGACAAAAAUCUGGUUGAGUUUUGAGGAUUUUUGACCAAAGAUUGGUCGAGUUUUGUGGAUUUUUGAUCAAAGUCUGGUUGAGUUUGGAGGAUUUUUGACCAAAGUAGUUCUAAGCAUUUUUGUCAAAUGUUUGGUUGAGUUUUAAGAAUUUUUGACCAAACUUUCGUUCAGUUUUGAGAAUUUUUGACCAAAGUUUGGUUGAGUUUUAAGGAUUUUGGUCAAGGAUUGGUUGAAGUUUUGAGGAUUUUGGAUAAAAUUUUGGUUGAGUUUUAAGGAUUUUUGACCAAAGUUUGGUCAAGAUUUGUGGAUUUUUGACCAAAGUCUGGUUGAGUUUGGAGGAUUUUUUGACCAAACUUUCGUUGAGUUUUGAGGAUUUUUGACCAAAGUCUGGUUGAGUUUUGAGGAUUUUUGACAAAAACCUUGGUUGAGUUUUAACGAUUUUGGUCAAGGUUUUGUUGAGUUUUGAGGAUUUUGGAUAAAACUUUGGUCAAGUUUUGUGGAUUUUUGACCAAAGUCUGGUUGAGUUUUAAGGAUUUUUGGCAAAAGUUUGGCUGAGUUUUAAGAAUUUUUGACCAAGCUUUGGUCAAGUUUUGAGAAUUUCUGACCAAACUUUUGUUUAGUUGCGAGAAUUUUUGACCAAACUUUCGUUAAGUUUUGAGAAUUUUUGACCAAAGUUUGGUUGAGUUUUGAGGAUUUUGGUCAAGGUUUGGUUGAGUUUGGAGGAUUUUUGACCAAAUUUUGGUCAAGAUUUGAGGAUUUUUCACCAAAGUUUGGUUGAGUUUUGAGGAUUUUGGAUAAAACUUUGGUUGAGUUUUGACCAAAGUCCGGUUGAAUUUUAAGAAUUUUUGACAAAAGUCUGGUUGAGUUUUGAGGAUUUUUAAAUUAAUUUUGGAUUUUUGCUGUUUUUCC